This 496-nucleotide ribosomal RNA is filed under the name uncultured bacterium. Its description in RNAcentral is "partial 16S ribosomal RNA". It matches the Rfam family "Bacterial small subunit ribosomal RNA", at positions 29 to 507 of the family's 1533-position model. The record is from RNAcentral.
AUGAACGCUGGCGGCGUGCCUAAUCCAUGCAAGUCGAGCGCACGGACGAGAAGCUUGCUUCUCUGAUGUUAGCGGCGGACGGGUGAGUAACACGUGGAUAACCUACCUAUAAGACUGGGAUAACUUCGGGAAACCGUAGCUAAUACCGGAUAAUAUUUUGAACCGCAUGGUUCAAAAGUGAAAGACGGUCUUGCUGUCACUUAUAGAUGGAUCCGCGCUGCAUUAGCUAGUUGGUAAGGUAACGGCUUACCAAGGCAACGAUGCAUAGCCAACCUGAGAGGGUGAUCGGCCACACUGGAACUGAGACACGGUCCAGACUCCUACGGGAGGCAGCAGUAGGGAAUCUUCCGCAAUGGGCGAAAGCCUGACGGAGCAACGCCGCGUGAGUGAUGAAGGUCUUCGGAUCGUAAAACUCUGUUAUUAGGGAAGAACAUAUGUGUAAGUAACUGUGCACAUCUUGACGGUACCUAAUCAGAAAGCCACGGCUAACUACGUG